This 519-nucleotide ribosomal RNA is filed under the name uncultured bacterium. Its description in RNAcentral is "bacterial SSU rRNA". It matches the Rfam family "Bacterial small subunit ribosomal RNA", at positions 8 to 518 of the family's 1533-position model. The record is from RNAcentral.
AGAGUUGAUCAUGGCUCAGGACGAACGCUAGCGACAGGCUUAACACAUGCAAGUCGAGGGGCAUCACGGGAGUAGCAAUACAACUGGUGGCGACCGGCGCACGGGUGAGUAACGCGUAUGCAACCUACCUAUCAGAGGGGAAUAACCCGGCGAAAGUCGGACUAAUACCGCAUAAAACAGGGGCACCGCAUGGUGAUAUUUGUUAAAGAAAUUCGCUGAUAGAUGGGCAUGCGUUCCAUUAGGUAGUUGGUGAGGUAACGGCUCACCAAGCCGACGAUGGAUAGGGGAACUGAGAGGUUGGUCCCCCACACUGGUACUGAGACACGGACCAGACUCCUACGGGAGGCAGCAGUGAGGAAUAUUGGUCAAUGGGCGGGAGCCUGAACCAGCCAAGUCGCCGUGAAGGAAGAAGGAUCUAUGGUUCGUAAACUUCUUUUGCAGGGGAAUAAAGUGCAGGACGUGUCCUGUUUUGUAUGUACCCUGAGAAUAAGGAUCGGCUAACUCCGUGCCAGCAGCGGC